UACAGAACUUUAAACACUUGAUGGCUCAGCCAGGACCACAGGUGUGCGACUUCAGAACUUCUGGAUUAUUGCUGGAAAAUACUUUCAAGUGCUUUAUCUGAUUAUCUUUCUUAUCUCUGUGUGGAACAAAUUCCACUAGGAUUCACCACACAUCCUUUAUCCUCCAAGACUGCUUUAUCAGCUCAUUUUAAUUACAGGUAUAAGCUCUGUUUAUAACUAAAAGAUUUAUCAACAACUCUGUCUUCAAAGCACAGUGAUGUUGGUGAAGAAGAUUGGGUAUGAGUCCUAAAAUAUAAAACUAACUCAGUUCCUCCAUAUGAACCAGUAACAAGUAGUAGUAGUAGUAGUAGUAGUAGUAAUGUGGGACAGAUGCCUGAGAGGAGGAACAUAUCUGUGUUUACAUUCCUUUACUUCUAAUUCAGUGCAUGCUGCCAUCUUUCUAGCUUUGUGUGUUGAAGUAGCUUACAGCAGUUUGGCUUCCCACUGUAAUAGGCAGGGAAUAGGCAACAGCUAUCCAAACACUUUUAUGACUAUUUCAUGUUUACUACUGUAGAAUCAUCUUGCUAGGGGGUUAUUCUAUUAUAAUUAUCAUUCAUCCUUAACAUGCAACUUUUUUGGUAUAAGUUCAUAUAUUUCUUACAAAGUUCUAGGUAGAGACUUAUUUAAAACAAUGACUAUAUAAUGGAACAAUUCUUUUACAGCUCAAUUCUAUGGUAGUUCACUAGGAAGUAAAUUCAAUUGUAUUCAGUGAAGCUUACUUCCAGAUAUCAGCUAGAAGUGUUGCUAUCUUAAUUAACGAUAUAAUUUUUAACUUCUAUAUUUACUGUUACAUUUCUGUUCCUUUAGAAAGAAAUAAUCCUGAAGGGCAUAGCUUCUCUUACAAGUAAUCAUACAAUAUUGGCAAACAAGAUCAGCUAUCUAUUUUAGGAAACCAAGGGCAACUUUAAUAUUUGCUUUUUUGUUGAAUAUGGGAAUAAUUGAAGACAGCAUCAGGUAAAAAUGGCUUUAAAAUAAGCAAGUUCAAUACUUACUGGUAUUGUGGAACACUCAGAUUAAAAGCUGUGUUGUCAACAGUUUUAACUCUAGAUGCAUCUGGAUUUUUAUAUUUUUACAAAACAGGUAAUUGUAGUUUUCUGACAAGCUGGAAGUACCAUUUUAAGUUUUGACUGUCUCCUGCCAUAAAACUUGUCGCAGGGAGGAAAUGAGGAGGGGUUGUCUGUGGAGCCUUCAUUGCAGCAGGAUCUUCAAUAGUUGCCCCACAGCUAAUUGUUUGGGCCUAUUGACAGUUAACUGAAAGGAAAAUUUGUACCUGCAGCAAAAAACCUUUGGCUUAUCACAGGUAUACUGGUAAGUUAGGCUGCAAUCCUUUACACUUUUGUUGUUUAGUCGUUUAGUCGUGUCCGACUCUUCGUGACCCCAUGGACCAGAGCACGCCAGGCACUUCUGUCCUCCACUGCCUCCUGCAGUUUGUCAAACUCAUGCUCGUAGCUUCGAGAACACCAUCCAACCAUCUCGUCCUCUGUCGUCCCCUUCUCCUUGUGCCCUCCAUCUUUCCCAACAUCAGGGUCUUUUCCAGGGAGUCUUCUCUUCUCAUGAGGUGGCCAAAGUAUUGGAGCCUCAGCUUUAGGAUCUGUCCUUCCAGUGAGCACUCAAGUCUGAUUUCCUUCAGAAUGGAUAGGUUUGUUCUUCUUGCAGUCCAUGGGACUCUCAAGAGUCUCCUCCAGCACCAUAAUUCAAAAGCAUCAAUUCUUCGGCGAUCAGCCUUCUUUAUGGUCCAGCUCUCACUUCCAUACAUCACUACUGGGAAAACCAUAGCUUUUAAUAUACGGACUUUUGUUGGCAAGGUGAUGUCUCUACUUUUUAAGAUGCUGUCUAGGUUUGUCAUUGCUUUUCUCCCAAGAAGCAGGCGUCUUUUAAUUUCGUGGCUGCACUUUUACCUAGCAGUAAUUCUCAUGGGAUUUGUUCUGAAUGGACACCUAUAAAAUUGCACUAUGUAGUUUGUAUACUUUCAUUACCAAGAAACUUCUCAUGAAAUACUGGAUCCUGGUCCCAGAAGCCUCUUGUUUCCCUCUACUGUGUUGUAAUAUUUGAAUUUAGGGGCGUAAGAACAUUUUAAUCCACUUUUCUACCAUCAGGCAGCCUGUGCAAUCCUAGGCACCAUCUACCACAAAUAGAAAGCAAGGUCUCGGCAGAAAUUUGCAGAUGGUAACAUUUGGCUAUUGGCCACAUCUAAAUGGAACCUCCAUGUUUAGAGGCAAUAUAGCUCUGAAUACUAGCUGCCAGAGGACAAAUAGAAGGAUGUUGCCUUCAUGCUGUGGUUGUAAAUAUACCUGGAAGCAGUUGACUAGCCCCUGUUGGAAACAGAAUGGUGGCCCAGAUGGAUCUUAGCCUGAUCCAACCAGGCAGUUCUUAAACCACAGAGAAGUAGUUUAGGAUGGUGGGAGACUUGCUGCCAUCCAGUUGUAAUUGGUCUGCAACUCACAUCACCCCUAACCAGUAUGCCCAGUAGUCAGGGAUAAAGAGAACUGGAAGACCAGAAGUUCCCCACCUUGAUCAGUUCUUAAGGUGAGACAGAUCAAUGUACACACAGUUCCCUUUCUUGUAUAUUAGACACGAUUGUUGUAUAAAUAUUCUGUUGUAUAAAUAUUUUCAGACAUGCAUGUGAGUGAGUUUAAAUGUAUUUUCAGUUGCCACAUGGUUUUUGCCAUCACUAUAAGCCAGGAAUAGCCAACAUGGAUCACAACUCCAAUCAGCCCCAGACAAUAUGUCCAACGGUCAGGAAUGAUGGGCGUUGUAUCCCAAUAAUAUAUUAAGGGUGCCAUGUGAACAAUGCUAUUGAAUUUAAAAUGGGUCUGAUUCGUGUUAGAAUUCUCAGAGUCCUUGUUGUAGUUAUACUAGGAUCAGAGCUUUCCAUAAAGAACAUAGAAUAUUUGUAUUUCUUAAAGCCAUAUAAACCAGAAUGAGAUAAGCUGCUCCUGAAAUUACUGUCUGAGCGGAAAACAUGUCAAAUAUGCAUGAGCCUCCCAGCCCAGAGGGUGUUGGGGGCUGGGGAGGGAUAUUGAAAAUGGAAUGCAUUUGUUCCCCUCAGCUAGGAGACCAUUUGCUCUCUGCCUCACCUCUAAUCCUCAUUAAAAGAGUUCACUGAACUCAGCUGCUUUUGAAAGAAAAUUGAAGAGCAUCAUCUCAUCUUAUUUCUCAGAGCAAGCUGAAAGGAUGGCAGUGGUGUCUUCACAUUCUCCAUUUCCUCUUUGGAGUUUUGAAAAUAAAAAAAAUAUAUACCCAUAGUGACAGGCUCUUUCAUUAGCUUUUUGUACUUCCCUGCCCCUCAGGAUAGUGACAAGGAAUUCAACACAAGUCUGUUACAUGUCUGCAGUUGUUCAAAAGCAUGAGGGAUGGGCAUAUUAUUCUCACAAUACAGAAAUCUGAGCUGAGGGGCUGGCAUACAGGAGUGAGUCGAUCAGAAUACGCUUGCUCAGACUGUGUAGUCCUUGGGUUAUGCAUUCUACAUAGUUUGUUUAUUUAGUUUUUAUUGAGAUAUCUUGCCUUCUGGUUGUCUUUUUCUAUUUUAUACGUUUCCAAGUUCUGAGGGAGGAAGCAUUGCUUCUUAUGGGACAUUUACUUUUUGUUACUGGCAUGUUUUGUUACAUGCCUUGGAGGUAUCUCUAGGCCAAAAGGUCUCCUGGAUUCUCAUAUAUAGUUGUAGCUGUUGACUUCUUUUCUCAUUGGUGAGUAAUAUGGAAACCUCAACCAGAAGUAGUUGUCAUGGCGCAUGUGAGGCUGCUGUCAAAAGCAAACAAAACACUCUUGCAUCUUCUCUUCUCCGCCACCCUGGUAAUGUCUAGCAAUUGCUGUUGACUUUAAAAAAAAGCAAUUUGGUUUGAUCGCAAAUGAGGAUCACCCUUAAUACCUCGCUUUGUCACUGAGUUAAACCAGCUGCAGAAAACAGACCCAUUUCCUCUGUUUCCUCUCUUUAUCUGCUGUCUGUCAUUUCUGAGGGAAAUUUAUGCUGACUUGGUUCACUCACCAUCUCUCAUGCUCUGGUACCCAUAGACGAGACAAGAACAGGGGUGGGUGGGAAUCUACAUUAACUUGAGGCCAUGGUGAUAAUGAUUCACCCCAUUGUUCUGUUGGCUAACUCAGCUAGUCCUCCUGUUCAGGAAUUUAUUUAGCCAUUACUUUGGAGUGGUGGAUGUCUUAAAUGACUGAAGCCUUGUCAAAAUGUAUGGAUUAAAUCUGAAUUAAAUCUAGUAGUCAGUGACUGAAGCCACCAGAAAAAUCAAAGUAAUUAUGCAACAAAAACUGUCCUGAGUAAUUUUUAGUUGGAAGAAUGCCCCAUGUUUUGAUAAGGAUGCGUUACUACUUUGGGAUCGGCUCCUUGCUUUUACCAAUCUAGUCUCCCCGUACCAAACUAACUACUGGUACCUGUCAAUAGUUACUGUGCUGCAGCAGUUGGGAGACAUUAACUGUUCCUCCCUAACAGGAAAUUAAGGUAACGUGCUUGAUCAUGUAUCAGAUGGCUUGGGUAAUAGAAAACUGUCAGUGGCUCAGUGUUUAUGUAUCCCAUUUAUUUAUUUAGUCAUUCAUUUUAUAUCCUGCCCUCCCUCAUGAAGGAGCCCAGAAUGGCAAACACACCAAUAUAAAAACAUUGUAGAAAGAUUCUAAAAACAGUUGAAAACAUUCUCUCAGCUAGUGAUUUCAGGGUUACCAGGAACAGUAUCUUUCAGUCAGCAACUGCCUAGGUGAAAACAGAAAUGCUUUAAAGUUCAUCCUUAAACUGAGUAAUGAGGGAGACAGAUGCAGGAACACGGAAGCUGAGAAGGCCUUGUCACGGGUUAACACCCAGCAGGCAGUCCCCAGGGGCAGCACCACCAACAAAGCCCCACUUGCAGUAGGCCCUGCCCUGCGUUUUCCAUAAGGAACUGGGAAAAUUUGUUAUUACCUAAUUGGGAGGAAUAUUCAUGCCCCCCACCCAAAAAGCAACAACCCUCACACACCAGAUUCAAGUGGACUACCUAGCCUCACCCAUCAUGUUUGUAUGUUACUUGUGCUUGAAUUUCCUUGUUUUUGCUGUGUGCCCUUUUUCUGAAUUGAUGCAUUCUCUCCUUUAUUAUUUUCAAGGUCUUGGGGCUUUUCCAUCUCCCUCAAUAUUCCAAGAGUAUAAAGGCCUUGCUACUGUUCCUCUUCAUGCUAACAAAAAGUGUUUGCUGUGCCAAGCAAUAGGCAAAUGAGCGCUGAAAUGGAGGCCAGGGAUGGGGGGAAGCCUUCGUGUGACUUGCCAUGUUUUAGUUGGGUUUUGUAUUGAGCGGCUAUUAUAACAGUUCCAAGUAGUUGAAGGGAACAGGCUAUAACGUGCGUGGAUGUGUGUGGAACGUGUGACCUUGUGAUUCCCUUUGACAGCUGGACCAUUGAGCUAGUUGGGGAGGAAUUCCAAGGCAUUGGCUGUGGGUUUCAUUUGGCCCUUAUAUUGCCUGGACAUGUUAUUUUCCUAUUUUUAUUAUUUUUAAGCAGCUCAGUUGUUUCUUUAUAGCCUUUGCUGCUCUCUGGUCUCUUCCUAUUGCCAGAGCAACACCUGCUGGCUAAAGGGAAUACAGUUGCUUUCUGUGGCUGCUUGCUGACUUUUUGCAGCCACUUCUUAUUCUCUCCUUAACUUGCUUGCCUUCCCUAUACUCUUUUGUUUUCCCUGUUUGUUUGCUGAAUUGGUUGCAAGUCAGAUACUCCUAAAUUCCCACUUUCUUGUGCUACCCGAAUGGAAACAAGCCAGACUCCCGUUAUCACUUUUCCCUUCAUCACCAUCUCCUAAAUGCACAGCUUCGCAUCCUAGUGUCAAUUAAUAGUGACUUCUCUGUGGUUCCAAGCUUUCCAGGGAUGAAGAAUCUGUGGCCCUCCUUAGGCUUUUGGACUCCAACUCCCAUCACCCUAAGCCAGCAUGACCAGUGGUCAAGGAUAAUGGGAAUUGUACUCCAACAACAUCUGGAGGGUCACAGCUUCCCUAUCCCUGCUUUAGACUGUGACCAUUACUGUUGUUGUUUUCUUUCUUUCUUUUAAAAAAGGAAUAGCAGACAGACAGAAUGAAGGAAACAGAGCAGUGUGCACUUGAGGCACCCAGACACCAAGAUUUCAAUGCUGCAUUUUAACAUUAUAAUUGGUUUUUCUGUUAAGUUUUUGCCUGAAUCUUCUUCUUCUUCUUCUUCUUUGCUGUAUAUUUUCUCACAGCAUUCUGCAUUGCAAAGGCAUUUUUACGACUCCCAGUUACAAACUGUCCUUGGCAUGCAUGUUUUGGGGGUCUACUUUGUUUUGGUUUUUUUUGUUUUUUAAAAAUUAAGCUUUAUUAAUUUAACAGUAAAAUACAAUCAAAUAUCAAUAAUAAACC
This is a non-coding RNA of Podarcis lilfordi (Lilford's wall lizard), 6370 nucleotides long. The record is from the annotation of a GenBank genome assembly. NCBI's taxonomy places the organism in Eukaryota, Metazoa, Chordata, Lepidosauria, Squamata, Lacertidae.